GAUGAACGCUGGCGGCGUGCCUAAUACAUGCAAGUCGAGCGAACAGAUGAGGAGCUUGCUCCUCUGACGGUAGCGGCGGACGGUAGAGUAACACGUGGAUAACCUACCGAUAAGACUGGGAUAACUUCGGGAAACCGGAGCUCAUACCGGAUAAUAUAUUGACCCGCAUGGCUCAAUAGUGAAAGACGCUUCUGCUGUCACUUAUAGAUGGUUCCGCGCCUCAUUAGCUAGUUGGUAAGGUAACGGCUUACCAAGGCAACGGUGCCUAGCCGCCCUGAGAGGGUGAUCGGGCCCACUGGAACGGGGGCACGGUCCAGAGUGGUACGGGAGGCAGCAGUAAGGACUCUUCCGCGAUGGGCGAAAGCCUGACGGAGCAACGCCGCGUGAGUGAUGAAGGUCUUCUGAUCGUAAAACGCUGUUAUUAGGGAAGAAAAAAUGUGUAAGUAACUAUGCACAUAUUGACGGUACCUAAACAGAAAGCCACGGCUAACUACGUG
Molecule: ribosomal RNA, 497 nt
Filed under: uncultured bacterium
Lineage: Bacteria
Description: partial 16S ribosomal RNA
Rfam family: Bacterial small subunit ribosomal RNA
Source: RNAcentral